This is a long non-coding RNA of Lolium rigidum, 509 nucleotides long. RefSeq lists it as uncharacterized. The record is from RefSeq and is a predicted model, not a curated record. The transcript has 3 exons. Lineage: Eukaryota; Viridiplantae; Streptophyta; Magnoliopsida; Poales; Poaceae.
CGACAAGCGGGAGGCGUGCGACGGCGGGGACGACAUCUUCAGGGAACAGCUAAAAGAAGGUGUUGGUGCUACCAUAAGAUGCCGUCUUUUUGUUGGGAUGACUAGGACUGAAGAGUUUGCAUCUUUGAACUUACCAUGGAGCUUUUCCAAUGAGACCCGAGGCGAGGAGCAACUCACUUGCAAGCAGGACCAACUUCAAUAUACGCAAGGAAAUCAAUACAUUGUGUGCAACUGAAAACUGUGUUUGCCUUAACCUGGAGAUUUUCUAUAAAUUUUGUACUAACUUGUAUAUGUGUCUUUUGCAUGAAACAUGGGGUUCCCAAUGUAUUUAUGUUGAUCCAGGUCUGUUAUAUUUGUUGCAUGCACCUGUGGCAUCAAAGUUUAGUUAACUGUAGGGGCUCCAUGGAGAUUCUUGGAGAAACGAGGAAGAAGAACUGAAUUAGUUUGUCAUGCACAAAUAUCUGGGCAAGAGGGGAGUGAGAGAGUGGUUAGUUUUUGACUCGGUGUGG